RNAcentral lists this unclassified non-coding RNA (1271 nucleotides) under Hevea brasiliensis (rubber tree). The record is from RNAcentral. Lineage: Eukaryota; Viridiplantae; Streptophyta; Magnoliopsida; Malpighiales; Euphorbiaceae.
AAUAUCAGUGUCCCCAAACUUGACCUGCAUCAAAAAAGUAAAGACGGUAAGUUGAUUAAUGAAAGUGAAAAAAUUCAGCACCUUUUUGCGUCACAAUUGCUUAUUAUUACUGCUCCCAGGCUUUAUAGCCCGGUAGUUUCUAUCCUACUUUGACAUCUUAGCAGACACACCUUUGCUUCAACCAUAGCAAUCCUUGCUUCAGCCAUAGAAUGUGCAAUAACCUAUGAUGGACUUAGUUUGGGAUAUAGCAUAUGCAAGUGUUAGGGUACCCUAACAGAAGUUUAGACGAAUUAGAAAGAAGAGAUUAGAGAGAGACAGAAAUAGAGAAGAUAGAGAUAGAGAAGAGAAAGAUUAUUUUUCUUUCUAAUGAUUUCAUAAUGACUUCUGAGCUUAUACAAUAGCUCAGUAACUACCUCAGCUACUGCAGGUAGUUAUCCCUAACCUCCCAACAACUUUUAUAACCACCUAAUCCGUUUCCUGCCAAUUACAACAACUCUACUAAUUCUCUUAACAACCAAAACUACUACUGCCUUAUCCUAUACUUUGUCCUCUGAUAUGCAACAGCAAGUUGUAGAAGUGCUAGUGAUGCCAGAUGAUAUACAUAACGUAUAAACUCAGGAUCAUGCAUAGUUAAAGCUUCAUAACUGUUAUUUUAGAAAAUGAAGCAAGGUGCUCUAAUCACGUGAAGCAUGAUUUGAUUAAAACAUAAUGAAAAUGAAUCGAUUCAACCGAGCCUCAUAUGAACUUUCAUUAGCUGGCAAGUGAAAUUGCAAUUGAUCUUCACAAUCUUUUCUUUCCUUAAUGAUUCGUUAAAUUACCGUUCCUUUUCCUCUAGCAUUUUAUAGGAUUAAACAAUACACAUACAGACAUUUGAAAAGUGAUGUAGUCCUAAUCCCUCAUACAAACAUCUCUCUAAUUCGCUAAUUAAAUAUUUCAACCAUAUGUUAAAAUCCCGCCUUUCAUAAACAUAUCUUCAACUGAAAUCCAUCUUAAUCAAUUGAGAUUAAAGACAACUUGAUAUCAAUUGCAGCACAUGCACAUUCAGCCAAUUAUAAAAAACGUUAUAAUUGCUAACCCUACAGUUUAUCACUAGUAAAUGCAUGCUUUCAUUUAAAGAUAGUAGGCAUAGAAAAGCCUAGUCAAAUUAAUGAAAUAUUGAACUGGAGCAAAACAGUAACAACAAUAAGACAUUUAGGCAGAACCAAAAAUAAGGCAAUUCAACUCUCUAAUUUGCUUGUGAUGCAAGUACUUACAAGAUUGAGAAGAGAAGA